RNAcentral lists this long non-coding RNA (3532 nucleotides) under Brassica rapa (field mustard). RNAcentral describes it as "long non-coding RNA (BRAP_LNC000808)". Lineage: Eukaryota; Viridiplantae; Streptophyta; Magnoliopsida; Brassicales; Brassicaceae. The record is from RNAcentral.
CGCGCUUUAGAUAGAUACAAAGUUAAUUGGCGUAAACACACAAAAAAGGCAAAGAUGGCCACGUCUCUCUCUACUGCAAAUAAGGUAGUUCUUCUGUCUUCACCAUGAAGCAAACACGAGUUUUGACAGAAGAGACGAACACACACAGACAAACACAAUCUUUUGACAGAAGAGACUAACACACACAAACUCUCUACGAUUCUCUCUCAAAGAAGGUACAAAGAUCCAUAAUUAGUAUGUCUUAAAUAUAUAUUUUUACUUAAAUCUAACCGUAGUUUUACACACGGGGUCUCUCAGCCAGAGAGAAUGAAGAUAUACAACGUUCACCCUUAUAGGGGAAUAGUUCGAUAACUUAUUUUUGUUUUUAGUCACAAGUUUUGGACUUAAGGUGGCUAAUAAAGCAGUCGGAGAGUUACCGGACGAUUGAUGUCAGAGAUUUGUCCAGGUGACAUCUCCAUUUUAUCAGCUUCGGCUCCCGCAAGAUUAUUCUUCUCCAUCUGUAAUAUAGUUUUAGGUCAAAACCAUUUAUAGUCAUUAAUUAACACAAAGAAAAUUCUUUUCCCACCAACCAUCAAAAAUAUAUAGCAAUCUGGUUUUCAUAAUUUGUCGAGCUUUUAGGGUCUUUCAUCAAGCUUAUAACGAAUCUCAAAUCAUGUAUAUAUAUCUACUUUUUCCUGAUUAACCUGAACAAGUAAAACUGAAAAACUAAGACUACUUGAAACUAACCAAUCGGAUCCCAACCUAAACCGUAACAGUAAACAAUCAUUCAGUUUCAUAAAUCUCUAACCAAAUUACCAAAACAGAAUGAUGUCCAACAACCUGAAAAGAAAUUAUUUUGACUUUACCCAAAUGACAUAUGAGAUUAUUUAGUUUUUCUUCUUCUUUUGGUUAAGAAUUGUUUAGGUAGUCGUGAAUAUAAAAAUGUACACAAACUUCGGUUUUUUCUUCCAGAUCCAGGCUUCAUUCGAUUUGGAUAUAUAAUCAGUAAAACUCAGAACCCUUAAGUUUAAGGAAAUGCUGCAUCCUCUAACUUCAAAGAACUAUACUACUUUUAGGAAUUAGGGUUUAAGACUUUUGUUGAAGUAUUAAGGUUUAUGACAGAGUUUAGGUUUUACUUUUAGCGUUAGGGUUUUAACUGUUUUACUAAUUUAUAAUAAUCCAAAUUAGAACCAAACCAAAAUUUUCCCCAACCAAAUCCAGACCAAUCAUUUUUGGUUUUCAUACAGUAAUACUCUCAUCAAAAUUAAGAUAAACCAAAAUGCCCUAAUCUCGACAUAUUCUUUUCUAUAAUACCUUAAGUAUAAUAUCUAUUGUACAUGUUAUAUCUGCAAGUAUAAGAGUAUGUGUAAAAGUGCUUGUUAGCUUUUGCAUAUAUGAAGAAUGUAGCUUUGUUACCUGGCUAGCCAAACCCUGGUUCUCUUCUUUCAGCAAUUUCUCCUGUUUUAAAGGUCAACAUGAUUAUCACUUACCAAGUUUCUAAACCUAAUUUCAGAUUCUAGAACCCAAAUCAUUUGCAUCAUCCCCAAAAAGACUACAUGAACUGUGAAGAAGUUUAAUGUAGAUUUGCCAGCUCAUAAAGCACACUUAGGGAAACUAAUACAAUACGCAAAAGUUUUGAGGCUCUCGACACAAGGUAAGAUAUCUAAUUAAGUGCUAUAAAAUAAGAUAUCUAACCUUUUCUUUGAGGCUAUCAACAAGCUUCAACAUUAGUUCUGUCUGCAACGGAUUAAAUAUAAGCGCUCUGAAAGUAAGAAAAAAAAAGAGAUUUUGUAGUGAACGUACCUUCCUAGCUCUAGUUACGGAGAGGGCAGUCUCAAGGUGGUCCUCCAGCUGAACGAGGGAGUCGACGCUUACAUCAGAAUUUGAUUCCACAAGCUUACUGCAUAUAUUAAUAGUUUGCCAAGAAACACUAAUUCCUUUGUCAUCAAAGGAGGAGAGCAAAAAAAAGUCUUAGACAAUACUAACCUUUCGACAAGCUCUAGUAGCUCAUGGUGUGAACCAUACUUCGGAGCUUUUGACUGAAGAUCCUGUCCACGGAGAAGGGAUAGAAUAGGCAAUUAAAACAAGGGAUUUGAGAAACUGGGAAUGCAUGCGGAUCCACAGCCUCACAUAGGAUCUUUUGACGAACUAAUGGCUCAUGAGUGGAUCAAUAAUGCAAUAACUCUAAUCUAGAUCUCCACAGUUUUGAAGUCCUAAACAUGUGUUGGCUUUGACCAGUAUGUAUGGAGCCCUCUAGGCACUAAUUACUCUUAAAACUGCAUCAGGACUAAUUCAAAAAAUUUGUAUUACCAGAGCUUUAAGAUCAUCAGCAUGUUGUUUUCCAUAUCGAUCAAGGAUCUUGACCAGGCUGAAGAGGAGACAAAACAAAAUAAGUUAAGAUCAAAACAACUAGCUAAUCCUUGUUCAACACCAUUGUAAUGGCGAUCGCGGAGAACAUAAGUAGUGUAGCAUAUGUGUGGUUAAGUACUAAUUGUGAGGCUGAGUUUUCUUAAAUCUACCAAAUUUCAAAAUUACUUUACACAUAUAUGUGGAUACUAAGAACCAACUAGUAGCCUUAUAAUUUGGAUAAUCUUCAAGCAAUAAAUCCAUGGCAAAGAGGUAAUUUUUUUUUGAAGAUCUACAAUUAUCUUUUUAAGUUAAUGGCUGCACAAUGUGGCAUAUAUGCAUUCAUAUUAAAACUCUUGAUCUAUUAUUCUGCAUUAAUCCUACAUCAAUUUUAUAGAUCUCCCCGAAGUGCAUUGCAUCGAACUCCAAGAGAUUCAUUGACUUGAAUUACUCUAAAAAUAGAAACAUUAAUCAUUAUUUAUUCUUAUAAUGAACUCUUCAGAUACUUAAGGAGUUCUACGGAGUUCACAUUUGCUGCAAAAUGUGGCAUACAUUCGAAUUAAAACUCUUAAUCUAUUAUUAAGCAUUAAUCCCACAUUUUUUAUAGAUCUCCCCGAAGUGCAUUGCAUUACAAAUCAAGAGAUCCAUCGACCAAAAUUACUCUAAAAAGAAAACCACUAAUACUCAUUCUGAUAAGGAACUCUUCAGAUACUUAAUUAGGAGUCCUAAAUCCAAUUAAACAAUCAAAGAUGUAUUGAAACUUCACUACACAACAUCAAGUAUGCAUCACAGCUUAUCAAAAGACCUUGAAUAACAUGCAAUCUUUUUUACAAAAAAAAAAAAAAUCCAUGCAGAAAAAGAUUGAGAGAGAGAAAUGAACAAAGUAAGAAGCUUUAGCUCAUCAGGACAUUGUUCUUUCUCAAAUCUGGUUACCUCAUGUAUCUCUCAUGUUCAUAGAAGAAACAAUAACAAACACAAAACCGAGAAAUCCACAUGAGAUCUGCCGGAAAAUCAAAGUGUCUUUUAAUUUUUUAUUUUAUUUUAUUUGUACUUUAUUUUAUUUUCCUAUAAAUAGUAAAGAGAAGAGGAACGGAAGCGAAAAGGGCAAAUAAAGGAAGACCCAGAAGAGGAGAAGUCAUACUUAUCGCCGGCGGAGAAGUUGUAAAGCUUGCCGGAGGCUGAGACAACGAGAAGAGCGACGGAUGCA